This 494-nucleotide ribosomal RNA is filed under the name uncultured bacterium. RNAcentral's name for it is "partial 16S ribosomal RNA". It matches the Rfam family "Bacterial small subunit ribosomal RNA", at positions 899 to 1397 of the family's 1533-position model. The record is from RNAcentral.
ACUCAAAUGAAUUGACGGGGACCCGCACAACCUGUGGAGCGUGUGGUUCAAUUCGAGACAAAACGAAGAACCUCACCAGGGUUUGACAUACUACCGUUUAUUUCCCAAGAAACUGGGAGAAAUCCGUAAGGAUGGUAGUACAGGUGCUGCAUGGCUGUCGUCAGCUCGUGCCGUGAGGUGUUCCCUUAAGUGGGGAAACGAGCGCAACCCCCGCCAAAUGUUAAAUUAUUCAUUUGGGACUAUCCUGUGUUUUACAUAGGGGGGAAGGAGGGGAAGACGUCAAGUCAGCACGGCCCUUAUACCCUGGGCCACACACACACUACAAUGGCGAAUAACAACGUGUCUGCAAGCUAGCAAUAGCAAGCUAAUCACUUAAAUUUCGCCUCAGUUCAGAUUGGGGUCUGAAACCCGACCCCAUGAAGCCGGAAUAGGUAGUAAUCGCGGAUCAGCAAGCCGCGGUGAAUACGUUCUCGGGUCUUGUACACACCGCCCGU